GAUAGGUAAGUAAGUAACGUAUGGAUCCGAAGCCUCUUCCGGAGGCUAACAAAGGCUCGCCAUACCCUACUACAUCUCAACAGUUCCCGGCGUACAGAACGGUAACAUGUCUCUCAAAAUAUCUGAGCUUGAGUAUACGGGGAAACCCAACCCCUUGGGAAGAUCGUUUGGUUAGGACGGA
RNAcentral lists this ribozyme (181 nucleotides) under Anopheles stephensi (Asian malaria mosquito). Its description in RNAcentral is "drz-agam-2-2 ribozyme". It matches the Rfam family "drz-agam-2-2 ribozyme". Lineage: Eukaryota; Metazoa; Arthropoda; Insecta; Diptera; Culicidae. The record is from Rfam by way of RNAcentral.